Molecule: ribosomal RNA, 487 nt
Filed under: Hydrogenophaga sp. BF.53
Lineage: Bacteria; Pseudomonadati; Pseudomonadota; Betaproteobacteria; Burkholderiales; Comamonadaceae
Description: bacterial SSU rRNA
Rfam family: Bacterial small subunit ribosomal RNA
Source: RNAcentral
CCUGCUCAGAUUGAACGCUGGCGGCAUGCUUUACACAUGCAAGUCGAACGGUAACAGGCCGCAAGGUGCUGACGAGUGGCGAACGGGUGAGUAAUGUAUCGGAACGUGCCCAGUCGUGGGGGAUAACGCAGCGAAAGCUGCGCUAAUACCGCAUACGAUCUAUGGAUGAAAGCGGGGGACCGUAAGGCCUCGCGCGAUUGGAGCGGCCGAUAUCAGAUUAGGUAGUUGGUGGGGUAAAGGCUCACCAAGCCAACGAUCUGUAGCUGGUCUGAGAGGACGACCAGCCACACUGGGACUGAGACACGGCCCAGACUCCUACGGGAGGCAGCAGUGGGGAAUUUUGGACAAUGGGCGCAAGCCUGAUCCAGCAAUGCCGCGUGCAGGAAGAAGGCCUUCGGGUUGUAAACUGCUUUUGUACGGAACGAAACGGUACCUGGUUAAUACCUGGGGCUAAUGACGGUACCGUAAGAAUAAGCACCGGCUAACU